CUUCAGCGAGCCGAGCCACAGCGGCUGGCCUUCAGGCCGGCCCUGGCCAUAGGUGGCGAUCAACGCCUCGGCCUC
The sequence is an antisense RNA, 75 nucleotides long. It matches the Rfam family "ASpks TB sRNA".